GCGUGGAUAGCUCAAUCGGUAGAGCACGAGAUUCUUAAUCUUAGAGUCGUGAGUUCGAGCCCCGCGUUGGGCA
Podarcis lilfordi (Lilford's wall lizard) is the source of this 73-nucleotide non-coding RNA. NCBI's taxonomy places the organism in Eukaryota, Metazoa, Chordata, Lepidosauria, Squamata, Lacertidae. The record is from the annotation of a GenBank genome assembly.